CCUACGGGAGGCAGCAGUGGGGAAUAUUGCGCAAUGGGCGAAAGCCUGACGCAGCGACGCCGCGUGGGGGAUGAAGGUCUUCGGAUCGUAAACCUCUGUCAGCAGGGAAGAACGGUCACUGUGCUAAUCAGCAGUGAAUCGACGGUACCUGCACAGGAAGCACCGGCUAACUACGUGCCAGCAGCCGCGGUAAUACGGAGGGUGCGAGCGUUAACCGGAAUUACUGGGCGUAAAGUGCCCGUAGGCGGUCUGUCAAGUCAGGGGUGAAAUCCCCGCGCUCAACGUGGGAACUGCCUUUGAAACUGGCAGACUUGAGUGUGGAAGAGGAUAGUGGAAUUCCAGGUGUAGGAGUGAAAUCCGUAGAUAUCUGGAGGAACAUCAGUGGCGAAGGCGACUAUCUGGCACAUAACUGACGCUGAGGAGCGAAAGCGUGGGUAGCAAACAGGAUUAGAUACCCGAGUAGUC
This 465-nucleotide ribosomal RNA is filed under the name uncultured bacterium. RNAcentral's name for it is "partial 16S ribosomal RNA". It matches the Rfam family "Bacterial small subunit ribosomal RNA", at positions 338 to 795 of the family's 1533-position model. The record is from RNAcentral.